Molecule: ribosomal RNA, 509 nt
Filed under: Escherichia coli
Lineage: Bacteria; Pseudomonadati; Pseudomonadota; Gammaproteobacteria; Enterobacterales; Enterobacteriaceae
Description: partial 23S ribosomal RNA
Rfam family: Bacterial large subunit ribosomal RNA
Source: RNAcentral
CAUAGGUUAAUGAGGCGAACCGGGGGAACUGAAACAUCUAAGUACCCCGAGGAAAAGAAAUCAACCGAGAUUCCCCCAGUAGCGGCGAGCGAACGGGGAGGAGCCCAGAGCCUGAAUCAGUGUGUGUGUUAGUGGAAGCGUCUGGAAAGGCGCGCGAUACAGGGUGACAGCCCCGUACACAAAAAUGCACAUAUUGUGAGCUCGAUGAGUAGGGCGGGACACGUGGUAUCCUGUCUGAAUAUGGGGGGACCAUCCUCCAAGGCUAAAUACUCCUGACUGACCGAUAGUGAACCAGUACCGUGAGGGAAAGGCGAAAAGAACCCCGGCGAGGGGAGUGAAAAAGAACCUGAAACCGUGUACGUACAAGCAGUGGGAGCCUCUUAAUGGGGUGACUGCGUACCUUUUGUAUAAUGGGUCAGCGACUUAUAUUCUGUAGCAAGGUUAACCGAAUAGGGGAGCCGAAGGGAAACCGAGUCUUAACUGGGCGUUAAGUUGCAGGGUAUAGACCC